UGUUAAACUCACAGAUCCACAGAGGCACUGGACCCAUUAAUAAUUAGGGUUAAUAUGAUCUCACCUGAACUUGAGAGGGGACGAGUAAGCCAGCUCUUCACAGGUAUUCUAAGUGCGUUACACACACAUAGAGUCAGAUUGUGUGUGUAUUGGUCAACAUCUCCGUGUACCUGCACAUCAGGGAGCUGUGGCGGUGGACACUAGUUUGGAUGGCAUCUCCAUUCACUGAGCUGGAGGCGCUGAUGAUCAUGUUCUGUCUCCUGGUUUUCGCCCUCUUCACCAUUACUGGGAUGUUCAAUGAAGAAUGUGGAAACCCAAAUGAAACUCACACACGAGCACGAGGUCAGGAGUGUGUCGCUUGACUUCAGAUGACGAGGAAACUUCUGCCAACCACAGAAACUCUUCUUCUCUUUUUGUUGCAUUAUUAUGGGGUCAUGUCAGUCAAAGCCUUGGGGGGGGGGGUGUAAUCAGUUAAAAGAUGGUGGACUAUGAAUGAACGUGUGCGUGUCGUCUGUGUGUGUGUGUGUGUGUGUGUAUGUGUGCUUGAUACAGGAUCCAGAGUUGUAACCUUCCAGGAUGAGGCACGCAGGUGUGGCCUGAACGGGACAGAAUCAAUAAAUAAAAACCUGCUGCAGAGACAACCUGCUUUCUUUGUUCUUAAGGGCGUGUAAAUGUGAAAACACACUCAUAUCCUUUUAUUUUGAUCUGACAAUAGCUGCAGUGAUUCCG
This is a long non-coding RNA of Platichthys flesus (European flounder), 729 nucleotides long. RefSeq lists it as uncharacterized. Lineage: Eukaryota; Metazoa; Chordata; Actinopteri; Pleuronectiformes; Pleuronectidae. The record is from RefSeq and is a predicted model, not a curated record. The transcript is spliced from 3 exons.